Long non-coding RNA from Panicum virgatum (switchgrass), 767 nucleotides. RefSeq lists it as uncharacterized. Lineage: Eukaryota; Viridiplantae; Streptophyta; Magnoliopsida; Poales; Poaceae. The transcript is spliced from 2 exons. The record is from RefSeq and is a predicted model, not a curated record.
AUUUUGUUGCAUAUCAUAGAAUGCACAACACAUUCAAACAAUUCACAUGACUCUUUAAAAUGUGAAGUAAACUUUCUGUUAUCCCGAUUUUGCCCUCCCAACACCUUAUCCUCCUCUGUCUUCUCGAGUCUUCUUUGUCCCCCCUGCUCGCGGCAGAGGCGGCGCUCGCGGAUCCGGCGAGAAGGCGCGCAGGCGAGCUGAGCGUGCGUGCCCUCGGCGGCGGCUGAGCAGGCGCCCCCGCUGGGCAGUAGCCCCUGGCUCGCGCGCCCCUGAGCGGCGGCCGAGCAGGUCCCCCACGCAAGCAGUGAGAGAUGGAGCGCUAGGGAGCUCCAGCGAUUCAGCUUGGCUUCCUGAAGGAUCCGCGCGCGCACACUGGAUCCCGCCGCCGGCGCCGAGCGACAGCGCGUUGUACAACGGUGCCGGGAGCCGUCGACAUCCUGGGGCAACGGGGAAGAAGCCGUAGACGAGGGAAGCGCCGGCUGCUCUCUCUCUCCGUCUUGAAAGCGCUCGGUGAAGACGUAUUUUGGUGCUCCCGAUGCAAAUCGACGACCUCGUCGAUCCGUUGUACUUGCCCUAAUAUAUUUUUCCCUAAGGGCAUCUUUACUCACAUGGGACUUAAUGUGUGGUUCCAUGCUGAAACUUUAAGAUUCCUCCAUUUUAGUUAAAAAUGAAAUACAAGCAAGUGGAUAUAUAGGCAUCGAUUAGCAGGUCUCUGUAUUUCCUGAAGUUACUUUGAGCUGCAUCGUUCAGUCCCUCUCUUUUGCUUA